This 403-nucleotide ribosomal RNA is filed under the name Verrucomicrobiota bacterium. Its description in RNAcentral is "Verrucomicrobia bacterium partial 16S ribosomal RNA". It matches the Rfam family "Bacterial small subunit ribosomal RNA", at positions 355 to 776 of the family's 1533-position model. The record is from RNAcentral. Lineage: Bacteria; Pseudomonadati; Verrucomicrobiota.
UGGGGAAUAUUGCACAAUGGGGGAAACCCUGAUGCAGCGACGCCGCGUGAGCGAUGAAGGCUUUCGAGUCGUAAAGCUCUGUCCUAUGGGAAGAAAAUGACAGUACCAUAGGAAUAAGGACUGGCUAAUUACGUGCCAGCAGCCGCGGUAAUACGUAAGGUCCGAGCGUUGUCCGGAAUCAUUGGGCGUAAAGGGUACGUAGGCGGGUAAGCAAGUUAGAAGUGAAAUCCUGUAGCUCAACUACAGUAAGCUUUUAAAACUGCUCAUCUUGAGAUAUGGGAGGGAAAGUGGAAUUCCUAGUGUAGCGGUGAAAUGCGCAGAUAUUAGGAGGAAUACCGGUGGCGAAGGCGACUUUCUGGCCAUGAUCUGACGCUAAGGUACGAAAGAGUGGGUAGCAAACAGG